GAUGAACGCUAGCGGGAGGCCUAACACACGCAAGCCGAGCGGUAUUGUUUCUUCGGAAAUGAGAGAGCGGCGUACGGGUGCGUAACACGUGUGCAACCUGCCUUUAUCUGGGGGAUAGCCUUUCGAAAGGAAGAUUAAUACUCCAUAAUAUAUUGAACGGCAUCGUUUAAUAUUGAAAGCUCCGGCGGAUAGAGAUGGGCACGCGCAAGAUUAGCUAGUUGGUGAGGUAACGGCUCACCAAGGCGAUGAUCUUUAGGGGGCCUGAGAGGGUGAUCCCCCACACUGGUACUGGGACACGGACCAGACUCCUACGGGAGGCAGCAGUGAGGAAUAUUGGUCAAUGGGUGCAAGCCUGAACCAGCCAUCCCGCGUGAAGGACGACUGCCCUAUGGGUUGUAAACUUCUUUUGUAUAGGGAUAAACCUACCCUCGUGAGGGUAGCUGAAGGUACUAUACGAAUAAGCACCGGCUAACUCCGUG
This 479-nucleotide ribosomal RNA is filed under the name uncultured bacterium. Its description in RNAcentral is "partial 16S ribosomal RNA". It matches the Rfam family "Bacterial small subunit ribosomal RNA", at positions 28 to 507 of the family's 1533-position model. The record is from RNAcentral.